This 575-nucleotide small RNA is filed under the name Pan troglodytes (chimpanzee). RNAcentral's name for it is "processed transcript". Lineage: Eukaryota; Metazoa; Chordata; Mammalia; Primates; Hominidae. The record is from RNAcentral.
ACUCCACACCCUCAUCUUCCAGCAGUGAGGGUAGACUAUUAAGGCUCUCAUGUCAUCAAGGAUCAAGGCAAUGGAUUAAUGGAGACUCUAGACAUUUGUUUCCUCACCAGUGAAAAUUAAAUGAAGACCCAGGAAUCACUACAGCUAUGGGGAUGAGAAGGACAUUUCAGCAGCUAGAGUGUGGUGAAAUAUGGCAGGCACACAGGCCUGAGACUGGAGUAUGGCUUCCUACUUCUUCCUCCGCAAAUUAAAGACAGCGAGCCCCAGGGUGCUAAUCCAACUGAGCUGCCACUCCAACUACAAUUAGCGAAGCUGAACAAGAAAGGAGAGAUGGAAAACCUGCCCCUAAAUGAGGCAUUAUUUACUCAGGAGAAAAAAGUAUAGGAAACUAAAGAAAAUACUGAAGAUAAUCUCAAAUGGUGACAAUCUUUUUCAAUCUCAUCUACACUUCAAUUUUGGAAUAGUCUAUAAUAUUUGAGAAUUAACAGAAAUAUUGCAAGAUAAAAGCUAGCAACUGUUAUGUAAAAGUAUCCAUUUUCCAUGGAUUCCCGCUAAAAGACUAACAGUUACUAAAU